Molecule: long non-coding RNA, 919 nt
Filed under: Macaca mulatta (Rhesus monkey)
Lineage: Eukaryota; Metazoa; Chordata; Mammalia; Primates; Cercopithecidae
Description: lncRNA (ENSMMUG00000060579.1)
Source: RNAcentral
CAGAGGCAGGGGAGACUCGGGGCCCAGCUGUCAGGCGCAAGGACAGAGGUCGGCGCGGGGUCUCCCCGGAGCAGGAGGGAGCAGCGGGUGACAGGUGCAGCCGCGCCAUCCCCAGGCAUCCCGGAACCUGGCCUGGAGGCUGCUGUGGGAUCCGCAGCCCUGCGCGCUGGGGAGGCGCUGCAAUGACCCGGCGGCGGCGCCUUCUCCCAGGUCCCCAAAUAGAAACAGCCCCAGUGCCCUCUCUCCGACCCCACCAGGGCCGCUACCGCGCUCCUCCUUACUCAGACCAGGCUCUACCGACUCCGCAACAGCUGCUCACCCCGCUUGAGAUGCAAAAGUUUAAAAAGUACUUCCAAUUCAACUCAAGAAGAGGGCUCAUCUGGAUCCUGUCACACUCCAUCAGUGUGAAGGCCUUUCCUUUUGCUUUCUCAGCGUAUCGAGCACUUCACACUUACUCCAUAGUUCUGAACUCUGCUUCUGGGGCUACAUUCAUCUAAGUCUCUUUGUCUCUGAAUUUUAAUACAAAAGGUAUGUACAUUUACAGUUGUGAUGGAUGUUGCCAAAUAAUUGAUGCAAAUUUAAUUCCUACCCACAUAUAUGAUAGUUUUCCCUCAAUCCCUCACCAACACUGUGUAAAACUUUAUAAUCUUUGUCAUAUCUAGUUGGUGAGAAAUGACUCCACUGGUUUUUCAAUUAUUAUUAUAAACAUCUGUUCAUAUAUUUAUUUUCUUUGUAGAAAAUUACAUUAAGGUCCUACCUGUGCUAUUGACUGCAAAAAGGCAAGUGAUCAGCUAAUAAUUACAGUCCCCUGUUAUUAAAAUAGAAAUUUACUACUUCAUGAAGACUUUGUAACUCCCUGGAAAUGGUUAUCUUUGAAAAUACUGAUGCAUGUUAUAUUCUUCCUUAAAGUGCUCACACA